UGGAUACCAUCAGCUCAUUAGCCACUGGUAUGAUUCAAGAAUGAGGCUAUAUAGUAGCACAAGGUAAAAUGUGUUCUGAUGUAGAACGCAUGCCUCAAUGCUUGUGCCUUCGUUUGCAGGUUAAACACCCAUGCUGUGAUAGAGCCAUUCAUAAUUGCUACAAACAGACAGUUGAGUGUUCUUCAUCCGAUAUAUAAACUUCUGCAACCCCUG
RNAcentral lists this unclassified non-coding RNA (213 nucleotides) under Hevea brasiliensis (rubber tree). Lineage: Eukaryota; Viridiplantae; Streptophyta; Magnoliopsida; Malpighiales; Euphorbiaceae. The record is from RNAcentral.